AAUCAAGCGCGAGAAGGGCGUUUGGUGGAUGCCUAGGCAGUAAGAGGCGAUGAAGGACGUGAUACCCUGCGUUAAGCCAUGGGGAGCCGGGAAUAGGCUUUGAUCCAUGGAUGUCCGAAUGGGGGAACCCACCUGAUAUUCUGCUGUUGUUACCCUUCGGGGUGAUCAACAGUAGGGUAAAUCAGGUACUUUUACCCUGAAUACAUAGGGGUUUAAGAGCGAACCCGGGGAACUGAAACAUCUAAGUACCCGGAGGAAAGGAAAUCAAGAGAGACUCCGCUAGUAGUGGCGAGCGAACGCGGACCAGCCGAGCCUGGAGAGUGAGUGGAAUGGUCUGGAAAGGCCAGCGAGAUGGGUGACAGCCCCGUACACGAAGCUCAAAAGGACGUAUCAAGUAGGGCGGGACACGUGAAAUCCUGUCUGAAGAUCGGGGGACCACCCCCGAAGGCUAAGUACUCCUUACUGACCGAUAGCGAACCAGUACCGUGAGGGAAAGGUGAAAAGCACCCCGACGAGGGGAGUGAAACAGUACCUGAAACCGGACGCCUACAAGCAGUCGGAGGGGCCUUGAGCCCUGACGGCGUACCUUUUGUAUAAUGGGUCAACGACUUGGUCUGUCGAGCAAGCUUAAGCCGUUAGGUGUAGGCGCAGCGAAAGCGAGUCUUAAAAGGGCGCAUGAGUUCGACGGAUCAGACCCGAAACCAGGUGAUCUAGCCAUGUGCAGGAUGAAGGUUGGGUAACACCAACUGGAGGUCCGAACCAACACCCGUUGAAAAGGGUCUGGAUGACGUGUGGCUAGGGGUGAAAGGCCAAUCAAACCUGGAGAUAGCUGGUUCUCCGCGAAAGCUAUUUAGGUAGCGCCUCGGACGAAUACCUGCGGGGGUAGAGCACUGCAUGGGUGAUGGGGGCCCACAGCCUUACUGAGCCUAAGCAAACUCCGAAUACCGCAGAGUACUAUCCGGGAGACACACGGCGGGUGCUAACGUCCGUCGUGAAGAGGGAAACAACCCUGACCUGCAGCUAAGGCCCCUAAUUCGUGGCUAAGUGGGAAAGCAUGUGGGACGGCCAAAACAACCAGGAGGUUGGCUUAGAAGCAGCCAUCCUUUAAAGAUAGCGUAACAGCUCACUGGUCUAGAUAAGCUGUCCUGCGGCGAAGAUGUAACGGGGCUCAAGCCACGAGCCGAAGCUCAGGAUGCACAGCGAUGUGCGUGGUAGCGGAGCGUUCUGUGAUAUAGCUCAAUGCCUCUUGUCUUCCUCUCGGGGAAGCAUGGAGGCACGGAGCUUUCUGUGAAGCCGGGCUGUAAGGCAUCCGGUGGAGAGAUCAGAAGCGAGAAUGUUGACAUGAGUAGCGACAAACAGGGUGAGAGACCCUGUCGCCGAAAGUCCAAGGGUUCCUGCUUAAAGCUAAUCUGAGCAGGGUAAGCCGGCCCCUAAGGCGAGGCCGAAAGGCGUAGUCGAUGGGAACCAGGUUAAUAUUCCUGGGCCAGGAGGAUGUGACGGAUCAGAGAGGUUGUCUGCCCUUAUCGGAUUGGGUGGGCAGCUGACUGGUCCCUGGAAAUAGCCCUCCAUCAGACCGUACCCUAAACCGACACAGGUGGACUGGUAGAGUAUACC
Ribosomal RNA from Reticulomyxa filosa, 1614 nucleotides. It matches the Rfam family "Bacterial large subunit ribosomal RNA", at positions 1 to 1682 of the family's 2925-position model. The record is from Rfam. Lineage: Eukaryota; Foraminifera; Reticulomyxidae.